This 235-nucleotide unclassified non-coding RNA is filed under the name Hevea brasiliensis (rubber tree). The record is from RNAcentral. Lineage: Eukaryota; Viridiplantae; Streptophyta; Magnoliopsida; Malpighiales; Euphorbiaceae.
AUACUCAUCAUCUGAUUCAUACAGCUCUGACUUUGAUUCAGAUUCAAAUUCAGAUUCGUCACUAUCUGAUUUAGGUUCAUCUAGUAAUGGAAGGCAUAGCAGGAAGAGGAGGUCAGUAAAAGGAGAUAAACACCAACAUAGGAGGAAACAAAGGGAUGGUCGAAGGGAGAGGAAGUGAGUCGGGCAUAAUGAGUGAUCAAGGCACAAGUCUAAAUGGUCUAGGAGUUCAGGAAGU